UUGUGAGUAUUUAUACAUAUAGGAUCUAAGGGUUUUCCCUUGUACAUGAGAUAAGACUAAAUCUUCUAUGAGAUACAUAUCGAAGUCCAUUAGGCCCAUUACGGUGGCUUGGCGUCGGAUAUGAGGAGUUAAUUUGCAGAUCUAUGGUGUUCUUCGUUGGUUCUGCUCUCAUGUGGCUCAGUCAAGGUUUGUUGCUGCUCGGAUGCUUUCUUCCGUUUUGGGGGUAGAGUUUUAGAUUCUCCGUUUGGGUGGAAAUUCUCUGAUCUGUUUUCAUUGGCUCUGUUCUCGUUGGAUUGGGAGUUGGUGAUGGUAUGUUGCGUGCUCCGGCUGCAUCUGUGGCAACGGCCUCCGUCAUUUAUCUUCAGGUUGUGUUUUUGCCUUUGGUUAAUUGCUCUGUUGGUUGGACGCGUGUAUCUUCUAGGUUUGGUUGUGUUUUAAUUUGGUUGAGGAGUGAAGCCUUAGAUUCAAGAUUAGGGUUGGCAUUAUUAGCUUUUAUCUCUGCCUCACUGUUAUCCUCCCUUCUGGAUUCUAGUGGUGUGAGAUGGUGAAGGUUUCGUUUGGUGGGUUCUUCCUUCGGAUGGUAGUCUUCUUUUGGUGUAGAGUUUCAGUUGUGAAUUGCUUUUGAGCUUUUGUUUUAUGCCAUUGUCCCUUUUCUUUAAGGUUUUUUCUCUCUUUUAUGUCCGUCCUUUGGGACCUUUAGUCUCUGGGGAUUUAUUUGUACCCGCCGGCUUUGUUUUCAGAAGGAUCUAUGUCCUUGCCGUGAUGUAUAACUCAAAUGUAUCCCAUCAAUGAAUCAUUUAGACAAAAAAAAAAA
This 814-nucleotide long non-coding RNA is filed under the name Arabidopsis lyrata. RNAcentral describes it as "long non-coding RNA (ALYR_LNC002547)". Lineage: Eukaryota; Viridiplantae; Streptophyta; Magnoliopsida; Brassicales; Brassicaceae. The record is from RNAcentral.